This is a non-coding RNA of Papio anubis (olive baboon), 73 nucleotides long. Lineage: Eukaryota; Metazoa; Chordata; Mammalia; Primates; Cercopithecidae. The record is from Ensembl.
UGGGUCAAGGCCAGUUGGUUGGGGUAUUUAGCUGUUAACUAAAUUUUUGUGGGUUCGAGUCCCAUUGACCUAG